RNAcentral lists this transfer RNA (61 nucleotides) under Ictidomys tridecemlineatus (thirteen-lined ground squirrel). RNAcentral describes it as "Spermophilus tridecemlineatus (thirteen-lined ground squirrel) tRNA". It matches the Rfam family "tRNA", at positions 7 to 64 of the family's 71-position model. From Rfam's summary of the family: Transfer RNA (tRNA) molecules are approximately 80 nucleotides in length. Their secondary structure includes four short double-helical elements and three loops (D, anti-codon, and T loops). The record is from Rfam by way of RNAcentral. Lineage: Eukaryota; Metazoa; Chordata; Mammalia; Rodentia; Sciuridae.
AUAGCUCAGUUGGUAGAGUGCUUGCCUUGCACGCACAAGGCCCUGGGUUCGAUUCCCCAGU